This 119-nucleotide ribosomal RNA is filed under the name Pelobates cultripes (western spadefoot toad). Lineage: Eukaryota; Metazoa; Chordata; Amphibia; Anura; Pelobatidae. The record is from RNAcentral.
GCCUAUGGCCAUACCAGUCUGAAAGUGCCUGAUCUCGUCAGAUUUCAGAAGUCAUGCAGACUUGGGCCUGUUUAGUACUUGUAUGGGAGACCAACUAGGAACCUCAGGUGCCGUAAGCU